UACGAAGGGGGCAAGCGUUGUUCGGAAUUACUGGGCGUAAAGCGCGUGCAGGCGGUUUGUUAAGUUAGAUGUGAAAGCCCAAGGCUUAACCUUGGAACUGCAUUUAAAACUGGCAAGCUAGAGUAUAGGAGAGGAUAGCGGAAUUUCCAGUGUAGAGGUGAAAUUCGUAGAUAUUGGAAAGAACACCGGUGGCGAAGGCGGCUAUCUGGCCUAUAACUGACGCUGAGGCGCGAAAGUGUGGGGAGCAAACAGG
Molecule: ribosomal RNA, 253 nt
Filed under: uncultured bacterium
Lineage: Bacteria
Description: partial 16S ribosomal RNA
Rfam family: Bacterial small subunit ribosomal RNA
Source: RNAcentral